This 505-nucleotide ribosomal RNA is filed under the name uncultured bacterium. Its description in RNAcentral is "bacterial SSU rRNA". It matches the Rfam family "Bacterial small subunit ribosomal RNA", at positions 8 to 507 of the family's 1533-position model. The record is from RNAcentral.
AGAGUUUGAUCAUGGCUCAGAUUGAACGCUGGCGGCAUGCUUUACACAUGCAAGUCGAGCGGCAGCGCGGGGGCAACCCUGGCGGCGAGCGGCGAACGGGUGAGUAAUGCAUCGGAACGUGUCCCGUAGUGGGGGAUAACCCGGCGAAAGCCGGGCUAAUACCGCAUAUGCUCUACGGAGAAAGGGGGGGAUCCGCAAGGACCUCUCGCUAUGGGAGCGGCCGAUGUCCGAUUAGCUUGUUGGUGGGGUAAUGGCUUACCAAGGCGACGAUCGGUAGCUGGUCUGAGAGGAUGAUCAGCCACACUGGGACUGAGACACGGCCCAGACUCCUACGGGAGGCAGCAGUGGGGAAUUUUGGACAAUGGGGGCAACCCUGAUCCAGCCAUGCCGCGUGCGGGAAGAAGGCCUUCGGGUUGUAAACCGCUUUUAGUCGGGAAGAAAAGGCGAUCUCUAAUACGGGUCGUUCUUGACGGUACCGGCGGAAUAAGCACCGGCUAACUACGUG